AUGUGCCACUCGACACACUUCCCUUCUCUCUCACCAUGUGCCACUCGACACACUUACACACACAGGGUGCCGCUCGACACCCUUUUCCUAUCAGGCGCCACUUUUCGAGUGCCUCUCGUCACACUUCUUCUAGUACCCGUUUUCUACCACAUUCCUCGUAAAACACCGUUGCUCUUCCCCGCAACCUCCCCAGAUUGCCAAUUUGGAUCUUCAUGA
Non-coding RNA from Vicia faba (fava bean), 216 nucleotides. NCBI's taxonomy places the organism in Eukaryota, Viridiplantae, Streptophyta, Magnoliopsida, Fabales, Fabaceae. The record is from the annotation of a GenBank genome assembly.